RNAcentral lists this long non-coding RNA (352 nucleotides) under Ricinus communis (castor bean). Its description in RNAcentral is "long non-coding RNA (RCOM_LNC002521)". The record is from RNAcentral. Lineage: Eukaryota; Viridiplantae; Streptophyta; Magnoliopsida; Malpighiales; Euphorbiaceae.
CUGGUUUCAAAAUCAGUAUUAGCAGAAGAUGUAUCACUUAAAACAUUUAAAUCGUUUUCUUCAAAAUCACUUAAAUCAGAAUUUUCAGAAUCUGUAUCAGAUAGUAAAAGAUUAAGCAACUGAUUUUUAAGUUUGUCAGAGACAUCUAAAGCAUUGAUUUUUUCUUUCAUCCUACACUGGGAUUUAAAAUGACCAACACACGUCCACACUUAUAGCAAACAUGAGGACUUUUCUUUUUAUUAUUUUUAUUUUUAUUUUUGUUUUGAGAAAUGUUUUUGGAUGAAAAAGGUUUUUGAAAAUUCAAAGUAUUUCUUCUAUAAUUUUUAUUAGAAGAUUUUCUUUUCAAAUAAUU